AACCAACGCUGGCGGCGUGCCUAACACAUGCAAGUCGAGCGGGAAAGGGGGCUUCGGCCCCUGAGUAUAGCGGCGGACGGGUGAGUAACACGUGGGUAAUUUGCCCUUGGGUGUGGAAUAACUCAGGGAAACUUGAGCUAAUACCGCAUGACAUCCCCUUCACACACGAGUCGGGGAUCAAAGCCGGGGACCCUUCGGGGCCUGGCGCCUGAGGAGAAGCCCGCGCCCGAUUAGCUAGUUGGUGAGGUAAUGGCUCACCAAGGCUUCGAUCGGUAGCCGGCCUGAGAGGGCGGACGGCCACACUGGGACUGAGACACGGCCCAGACUCCUACGGGAGGCAGCAGUGGGGAAUUUUGUCAAUGGGGGAAACCCUGAACAAGCAACGCCGCGUGGAGGACGACGACCU
RNAcentral lists this ribosomal RNA (406 nucleotides) under uncultured bacterium. RNAcentral describes it as "bacterial SSU rRNA". It matches the Rfam family "Bacterial small subunit ribosomal RNA", at positions 32 to 417 of the family's 1533-position model. The record is from RNAcentral.